GAAGGGGCUUGGGAACCUCUCCCUCCUAUCCCCUACUUGUCCAAGAGUCCGCGAGGUUUCAAUGUGAGAUCCCGUGAAGGCGAAAAAUCUCGCGAGAAAUGUGACUGUGGAUCGAUCUGUGGAGGGGCGGUUAAGCGCAAGGGGGUGUGCAUCUGCGCCCGGAAUGUCGUGAGCGAUCUCGGUCUUGCUAAUGGAUGGCCGGUUUUUGCUUUUUGCGUCAUCCUCUACCAGAGAAAUGAUCGCUGUCCUCUAUCUAGACACGCUUUAAACAGCAGUGGUAAAAAUCAAUUUGCAAACACUGGAUAAGACUUUUGUAAAGGAACAUUGUCCAGCAUGGAUUCUGUACCAGAAGAAUUUUUUGUGAGGGAACCUGCUGUGGAGGAACAGAGAAAGGAGGAACUUGAGAAUAAAGUAGAUAAGUCAACUGGUCAAUUGGACAAACAGGAAAAAGACAUACCUUCUGAACUUGUCCAUGUUAACCUACUAGUAGAAGUGAAGAAGCUAUUAAAUGCAAUUAAUAGUCUACCAAAAGGUGUAGUUCCUCAUGUUAAGAAAUUCUUGCAAGACGAUUUUUCCUUCCAAACGAUGCAGCGAGAAGUUGCAGCUAACAGCCAGAAUGGGGAGGAAAUUGUUCCUUCUUUAACUUUACGGUUCUUAAUAACACAACUAGAAACAGCACUUAGGAACAUUCAAGCUACUAAUUACACAGCACGACAGAUUAAUAUUGGCUAUUAUUUGACUUUACUCUUUUUAUAUGGAGUGUCACUCAUUGAAAGAGGAAAGAAAGAGGAUUAUACAGAAGCUGAAAACAAAUUUCUGGUGAUGAAGAUGGUGAUCCAAGAAAAUGAAAUUUGUGAAAACUUUAUGUCUUUAGUUUAUUUUGGACGUGGUUUACUUCGAUGUGCUCAGAAGCGAUAUAAUGGAGGACUGCUAGAAUUUCAUAAAAGCUUACAAGAAAUAGGAGAUACAAAUGACCAUUGGUUUGACAUAGAUCCUACAGAAGAUGAAGAAUUACCUACGUCUUUUAAAGAUCUCCUUGAUAAUUUUAUCAAGACAACUGAAGGUAAUAUAAUGAAGCAUACCAUUUGUAGUUAUCUAGACUGUGAGCGAUCCUGUGAAGCUGACAUUUUAAAGAACACCAAUUAUAAGGGUUUUUUUCAGUUAAUGUGCAGUAAAAGUUGUUGUGUUUAUUUUCAUAAGAUUUGUUGGAAAAAGUUCAAGAAUUUAAAAUAUCCCGGAGAAAAUGAUCAGAGUUUUAGUGGGAAAAAAUGUUUGAAGGAAGGAUGUACAGGUGACAUGGUAAGGAUGCUGCUGUGUGAUGUGCCUGGAAUUGUUAAAAUUUUGUUUGAAGUUGUAAGAAAGGAUGAAUAUAUAACCAUCGAAAAUUUGGGAGCAAGCUAUAAAAAGUUGAUGUCUCUCAAAAUAGCUGAUACUGAUAUAAGACCGAAGAUAAGCUUAAAAUUUAAUACAAAAGAUGAAAUGCCAAUCUUCAAACUUGAUUAUAGUUAUUUCUACCAUCUGCUUCAUAUAAUUAUUAUUUCUGGUACUGACAUUGUCCGGCAAAUAUUUGAUGAGGCUAUGCCACCCCCUCUAUUGAGAAAAGAGCUGCUUAUACACAAGAAUGUACUGGAAUCCUACUACAACCAUCUUUGGACCAAUCACCCUUUGGGUGGAUCAUGGCAUCUACUUUAUCCCCCAAACAAGGAGCUACCACAGUCCAAACAAUUUGACUUAUGCCUCCUAUUAGCUCUCAUAAAACAUUUGAAUGUAUUCCCUGCACCCAAAAAAGGCUGGAAUAUGGAACCAUCAUCUUCUGAUCUCUCUAAGUCUGCAGACAUCCUGCGGCUGUGCAAAUACAGGGAUAUCCUCCUUAGUGAGAUUUUGAUGAAUGGUCUCACUGAGUCGCAGUUCAAUUCAAUUUGGAAAAAAGUUUCAGAUAUUCUUCUACGCCUUGGCAUGAAGCAAGAGGAUAUUGACAAAGUGAAAGAGAAUCCCAUUGAGAAUAUCUCACUUGAUUACCAUCAGCUAUCCAUCUACCUGGGCAUACCAGUACCAGAAAUCAUCCAGAGGAUGUUAUCCUGCUAUCAACAAGGAAUUGCUCUACAAUCAAUAACAGGCAGUCAACGUAUUGAAAUAGAAGAGUUACAGAAUGAGGAAGAAGAACUAAGUCCACCUCUUAUGGAAUACAAUAUAAAUGUGAAAUCACAGCCUGAAAUACAGUUAGCAGAAAUAAAUAAAGAUGGGGCCUCAAUACUUAGUGAAUCAUCAACAGAAUCCAUUAAAGAUCUUCAGGAAGUUAAGAGUAAACCAAAGAAAAAGAAAAAGACUAAGAAUAAAAAGAAUAAGGAAUCAAAAGAAGAGCAAGUUUCAUAUAUGAUGGAAAAGGAAGAGCAGUUGAAGGAAGAACAAGAAAAUCCACACCCAGUCAGUAGAUUCAUAAAAGAUGAUGGAAGUGAUGUUCAAGAAGAUUCUGCAACUGAAGAAAAGUUCUAUAGCCUGGAUGAAUUGCAUAUUCUGGACAUGAUAGAGCAGGGCUCAACUGGCAAGGUGUCUGCAGAUUAUGGAGAAACUGAAAAAGAAAGGCUUGCUCGUCAACAUCAGCUUUACAAAUUGCAUUAUCAAUGUGAGGAUUACAAAAGACAGUUGAAAACAGUAACUUUUCGGUGGCAAGAAAACCAAAUACAGAUCAAAAAGAAAGACAAAAUCAUUGCAUCUCUUAACCAACAAGUGGCCUUUGGAAUCAAUAAGGUUUCCAAAUUACAGCGUCAAAUCCACGCUAAAGAUAAUGAAAUCAAGAACCUUAAAGAGCAACUUUCCUUAAAAAGAUCUCAGUGGGAAAUUGAGAAACAUAAUCUGGAAAGCACAAUGAAAACAUACUUAAACAAACUGAAUGCAGAAACUAGCAGAGCUUUAACAGCUGAGGUGUAUUUCUUACAGUGUCGAAGAGAUUUUGGUUUGCUUCAUUUAGAGCAAACUGAAAAGGAGUGUCUCAGUCAGCUUGCCAGGGUAACUCACAUGGCAGCGAGCAACCUAGAAUCACUUCAAUUAAAGGCUGCAGUAGAUAGUUGGAAUGCCAUUGUAGCGGAUGUUAGAAACAAGAUUGCGUUCCUUAGGACACAGUAUAAUGAACAAAUCAACAAGGUAAAGCAAGGGUUUGCGCUGAGUACUUUGCCUCCAGUCCAGCUUCCUCCACCACCACCCAGUCCUGAGAUUCUGAUGCAGCAAUUCUUAGGAAGACCCCUUGUGAAAGACUCUUUCUUUAGACCCAUAUUUACUGUUCCUCAAAUGCCUGCUGUUUGCCCUGGAGUUAUCUCAGCAGCAGCCCCACCUAGAGCUCCUCUGAUGACUGGCAUAGCCUGGACUAUGCCAGCACCUGUGGGAGAAAAUGUGCUUCCUGGUGCAAGUCUGGGAAGUGAUCCUUCUUCCGUGAUGAAUUGGGAGAGGCUUACAGACAGACUGAAAACUGCCUUUCCACAACAGACCAGAAAAGACCUUGCAGAUUUCUUAAGAAGAUUGAAGGAUGCUCAUGGGAAGUCCUUAUCUGGAUUAACAUUUGAUGAAAUUGUUUACAAGAUUUCCCAAUUUAUUGACCCAAAAAGAUCUCAGAGUCAAGGAAAAUCAGUACCAAAUGGUAAUUGUGUUUCACCUAGCCAUUCUCCAUCACAAUCUAACACUGCCCAGCCUCCAAAAGCAGCCUGGAGGCCUCUUAGUUCACAAGAUUCUGCCACAUGGGAAGGAGCCAAUAACUUGGAGGCAGAGGAGGAGGAAGAAGAACCUUGUGUGAUCUGUCAUGAGAAUCUGUCUCCAGAAAACCUUUCAGUUUUGCCUUGUGCUCACAAAUUUCACUCUCAGUGCAUUAGACCAUGGCUGAUGCAACAGGGAACAUGCCCAACCUGCAGACUCCAUGUUUUGCUACCAGAAGAAUUCCCUGGUCAUCCCAGCCGUCAGUUGCCCAAGAUCUGAUAUAAGGCGGGUGACUAUCAAAGGAAACUCAGUUUUAUGAUUCCAGAAUUUAGUUCCACCUUUUAUCGUGAACUUGUCUUCAGUAUAUCCUGAAACUACUUUAAAUCUCUAAUAUAAAUGUGUAUUUUUGUUUCAUUAUACACUUAUUUUGAAAGAUGAUAGGAAAUUAUUCAAAAGGAAGUCAAUCACCGAGACUAAGAGUGCUAAGAAUCAUAUCUUAGAAUCACAGAAAGUGAACGCUUCUAGAAACCAUGUAAUCUACCCUCUCACUUUACAGAGUUACAGAGAGAGAAAGAGGAGAGAAAGAGAUCUUUCAUCUGCUGGUUUACUCCCCAAAUGGCCACAGAGCCGGGGCUGUGCCAGGCUGAAUCCAGGAGCCAGGAGCUUCUUCAGGUUUCCCGCAUAGAUACAGGGGCCAAAGGACUUGGCGGCUUUCCCAGGAAUAUUAGCAGAGACUGGAUCAGAAGCAGAACAAGUGGAACUUGAACCAGUGCCAACAUGGGCUACCAGCACUACACAAGAUUUCUUAAUCCUGCUAUGCCACAGGGCUGGCCUCCAAAAUUCUGCAUUUUAAUAUUUGUAUCUUUUUGUUUAUUUAAAUGACUUUAUAAUUUUUACAUUCACUAAAUAGGAAUUCUGUGCCAUUUUUUAAGAGUUAAUUUGAAAAGAGAGAGAGAGAUCACCUCCACCUGCUGGUUCACACCCGAAAUGCCUGCAAUGGAAAGCAUUGGACCAGGCCAAAACCAGGAACCUAGAACUCCUUCCAAGUAUUCUACAUGGAUGGCAGAGGCACAAGCACUUGUACCAUUCUCUACUUCCCUCCUAGGCAUAUAAGCAGUAAGAUGGAUUGGAAGCAAAGUAGCCAGGAUUCAAACGGCCAUUCUGAUAGAGGAUGCUGACAUUAUAAGCAACAGCUUAACCUGCUGCACUGCAAGUCAGCCCCUUCUUUGCCCAUUUCUUAGUUGGAUUGUUUGUUUUAUUGUUGUGUUUUUGAGCUCCUUAUAUAUCUUGAUAUUAAUCCUUUAUAAGGCAUGUGGUUUGCAAAUAUUUUCUGUAUUUUGUGGGUUGUCUCUUCACUUGGCUAAUUGUUUCCUUUGCUGUGCAGAAACUUCUUAACUUGAUAUAAUCCAAUUUAUCUAUUUUUGUUUUUAUUGGCAGUGCCUUUUGGGGUCUUAAACAAAAAGUCUUUGCCUCAGCUAAUGCCUUAACCAUAUCUCUACUAUGUUUUCUCAAGUAGUUUAACAGUUUAAAGUCUUAAGUUUAAAUCAUUUACCCAUUUUGAGUUAAUUUUUGUACAGGGUGUACAAUAUGGGUCUUGUUUCAAACUCCUGCAUGUGGACAUCCAGUUUUCCUGACUCUGUUGGAAAGACUGUCCUUUCUCCAGGAAAUGACUUUAGCUCAUCUGUCAAAGAUUAACUGCUUGUAGAUGCAUGGAUUUAGUUCUGGGGUUUCAUUCUAUUCCAGUAGUCUAAAUGUCUAUUUUUAUGUGCAGUGACAAUAGAUUUAUAAAGAAGUAGACUAAUACUAUUUUAUGUACUCUCCUCUCUCCAAGGAUCUGCCAAUUCCUAAGCUGUAAUAUGCGCCUGUCAUAACAAAACCCAAGUGGAUAAAAGUUGCUAAGGGACUAUAAAGCUAAACAGAUUUAGGCAUUACCAUGACUCUGUUAAGAAAAUUGGAGUUAGGCAUCACCAUGAUUCUGUAAAGAAAACUGAAGUUCAGGACUCAUAAAUAACCAGGUAUUCCAUUGAGAUCUUGGAAAUGUUAGAGGUGUGGAAAAACCAGAAAUAGGCCAGGCUUGAUUGGGUCAAGAUUAUUUAUUGAAUGGAAAAUUCUUACUUCAUCUUAAAAUGGGGCUUCUGACCCAUUUUCUGUCUUCUUUCCUGAGUGGAAAAAUUAUUUCUAAUUCUGCCUACCUGCUAGAGAAAAGUGAGCACAUGAUAAUAAAGCCGUGCUAUUAAAACUGACGUGAAAGAAUGAUUUCAUAAUCAAAUGGUAUAUACUUCUUAUCCACAUGUGAGAUGAUUUCAUCAGCCUGGUCCUCCACUUGGUCAAUAACAUAAUAAAUGGGACAUUUCCUCACCUGCCUUCUAUGUGUUCUCAUUCAUAACCAAAUCAAGAGGUGCAGUCUUACCACCCCAAUAGCUGAAUCCACUGCAUAACUUAAAAACCUCUUAGUUUUGAAUCCUAACUUUAUUAUAUCCUGAUAUUCCAAUUCUUAUGAUAUAUUUUUCUUCUAAGCAUAUUCUAAUUGACUCAUUGUUUCCAUAGUGUUCAUCAUUUGCUCACUUAACCCAAAAAGGUAAAAUUAAUUGUUGAGUCAUGAGUUAAGAAUGGAUAUGAUGCCACCUAUGAUUACUGCAUCAUUCACAUAUAAAUAACAAUAUAUAUUUGGACAUAACGUGCCAUAAUUGGGAUGAACUAAUUCUCAAUUCUUUUUCACUCUUUGACAAAAUGGGCCAAUCAAAAGCAAACAGGACAAACACUGUGGCAUAGCCAGUAAAGCUGCCGUCUGCAUCACUGGCAUCCCAUAUGGGUACUGGUUCAAGUCCCUGCUGCUCCAUUCCAAUCCAUCUUUGCCUGGGAAAGCAGUGGAAGAUAGCCCAAGUCCUUGGGCCCCUGCACCUACAACAGAGACCUGAAUGACACACCUGGCUCCUGGCUUUUGGCUUGGCCCUGCCCUGACUGUUGCAGGCCAUUUGGGGAGUGAACCGGCUACACUAAUUUACAUUCCCACCAAGAAUGUAUAAUUGUUCCCCUUCCUGCACAUCCUUGGCAGGAUUUUGUGCUCUCUGACUUUUGGAUUUUACCCAUUCUGAUAGGGGUGAAGUGAUACCUCAUUGUGGUUUUGAUUUGCAUUUCCCUGAUGGCUAGUGAUAUUGAGCACUUUUUCAUAUAUUUGUUGGUCAUUUGUAUUUAUUCUUUUGGGAACUGUCUGUUGAGGUCCUUUGCCUAUUUCUUGACUAAAUGGAUUUUGUUGUUGUUACUGAGUUUAAAUUGCUGAUAUAAUCAAGAUAUUAAUACUUUGUCAGGUGUUUUGCAAAUUCUGUUGGAUGUCUCUUGACUCUAUUUAUCAUUUCCUUUGCUGUGCUAAAUCUUCUGAAUUUGAUAUAGUGAGACCUGGGGAAGCUUCUGUCUCCAUUCCACUGUGGCAAGCCCAUGGCUGAUAGUGCAUAAUCCCCAGUAUAACCAAAACUUUUCCUGUGGGAUCCAAAGUACCCUUUCUGUCCUGCAGUUUUGGGACUGCGACUAUUAGAACUCUAAGAGUCACCCGAAUGCAUGCUAUGUAAACUGGGGAAAAUUCUACCAGCAUUUUACUCCUUCAAGGACACACCUGCCAGUGAGCAAUCCCCAGCAUAACCUACGUUGUUUCCAUGGGACCUACUUCACAUCCUCAGUGCUGUACCUGGGGCUUUUUAUGCUAUAAACCCCAGAAUCCUCACACCCAGCCACAAGGACAUGGAGAAGAUCCUCUCUACAUCACACAGUUCUACACCCAAAGCUCUUGGUGGCACAACCCUCAGCAUCACUCAGGCUUUCCUAGUGGACUUGAUGACUUACGGUCUAUGUCCCACAGCACCAGGCGAAUGGCUUUUGCCAUAACCCAAGUUUGAUUGGCACCCAGCUCUGGGGUCUGAAGACAACACCUUGAGAAGCCUACAUCCACUUCAAAGUCUUACUACUACAUCCAUGGACUGCUGCAGCCAAACAAUUGCGGCAUUCGUAGACAAUGUUUACAUUGAUUACAGCUGAAGAAAUCACUCAGACAUUGUACCUCUGGACUCAGCUAGAGACAAAGCCAAAGCAACUAUCAACUGACCACAUUCCAUCAUUUAAAAAAAAAAAAAAACACCGAUGAAAGCUACUCCAUAAAGAAGGAACUUUCAGACCAGGUUUGGAGUUACAAACAGAGAAAAACAUAUGAAGAAGCAAUGCAGUUUGACAGCUCCAAAAGAACACAGCAUUCUUCAGAAGUAGAUCCUGAUUUGAAGUAUAUCUAUGAAAUAUCUGGAAAAGACCUGAAAAUAAUGAUCCCAAGAAAACUCAGUGAGAUACAAUAGAACACAGAUAGGAAAACAAUAUAUAAGAUUUUUGACAGAGAAAAUGUUUAAAAGAAUCAUAAAUUUUGAAGCUGAAAACUUCAAUCAGUGAAAUAAAAAAUACAAAUGAGAACUUCUAUAAUAAAACAAAUCAAACAGAAGAAAGAAUUUCUGAUCUUGAGGACAAGAAUUUUGAAAUAACAUGGACAAAUAAACAGAAAAGAAAAAGAAUUAUGAAAGCCUAUGAGACAUAGGAUAUAACAGUAUAUGAGUAAAUAUUCAUACUAUAGUAAUACCUGAAGAAGAGACAGGAAAAGGUACCAAGAGCUUAUUUAUUGAAAGAGUAGUUCAAGAUUCGCAAAGUAUUAAAGAGUUAUGGACAUCCUGUUACAGGAAACUCAAAAGGGCCCAAACCAGAUUCAACCAAGAAAGACCUUCACCAAGGCAUAUUAUUGUUAAAUUGUCAAAAGUUAAGGCUAAGGGGAGAAUCCUAAAAAAAGUGAAAGAAAAAAAUAUUCAUUACAUUAAAGAAAACUCAACAGACUAAUAGCAGAUUUCUCAACAGAAGCCCCUCAGACCAGAAGAGUAAGGCUAAUAUAUCCAAGGUCUUGAAGACAAAAAAAAUUUCAACCAAAACUGCUAUAUCCAACAAGCUAUCCUUUAGAAAUGAAAGUGAAAUAAAGUAUUUCUGAGAUAAGUAAAAACAGAGAAUUCAUUACCUCCAGACCAACUCUAUAGGAAAUCCUGAAGGGAGGUCCUGCAUUAGAAGGAAAAUGACCAUAAAAAUCAUAAUGGAAAUAUACUACAGUACAAAAUUCACUAACAGAGCAGAUACACAAAGAGAAAGUGAAGAGGAUCCAAAGUUAGGACAGAAACUACCCAAACUCAAAGAUAAAUAAUGAGAGGCAGAAACAAAGAGACUUAACAAAACAAACAGUAAGCACCAACAAAAUGACAGGAAUUAGUGCUUAUCUAUCAAUACUAACCUUAAAUGUAAAUGGAUCAAAUUACCCAGUCAAAACAUACAGGCUGGCUAAGUGGGUUUAAAAAAAAAAAAAAAACAAGCUCCAACUAUGUGCUACCAACAAGAAACUCACUUCACAGGUAACAAAACACAUAGACUGAGGUGGAGUUUUGAAAAAUUUUAAGCUAUGCAAAUGGAAACCAAAACCAGGGAAGAGCAGCUAUGCCCAUAUCAUACACAAGACCAUUAUGUUUCGUGAAGUAAGCCAGACCCAAAAAAGAUAGAUAUAUGUUUUCUGUAGUUUGUGGUACCUAAUAUAUAGAAUACAAAAUUAGUGAAAUUGAAACAUUGAAGUUUGAUUACUGUUUAUAGCCCUUUUAUUUAUUUAUUUAUUUACAGGCAGAGUGGACAGUGAGAGAGACAUAGAGAAAGGUCUUCCUUUGCCGUUGGUUCACCCUCCAAUGACCGCUGCAGCCGGCGCGCUGCAGCCAGCGCACUGCGCUGAUCCGAAGGCAGGAGCCAGGUGCUUCUCCUGGUCUCCCAUGGGGUGCAGGGCCCAAGCACUCCACUGCACUCCGGGCCAUAGCAGAGAGCUGGCCUGGAAGAGGGGCAACCGGGACACAAUCCGGCGCCCCAACUGGGACUAGAACCCAGUGUGCCGGCGCCACUAGGCGGAGGAUUAGCCUAUUGAGCUGCGACGCCGGCCUAUAGCCCUUUUCUAUAUGCCUUUGGAAUAGUAGUGGUCUUUCUUCUUCGUACUUUUUGAAUUCUUUUAGUGGAGAAUUAAACCUGUGAUUGUUAAUUAAAUUGAAACUAUGCUAUCACAAAAAAUUAAAAGAAAAAGGGAAGGAGGAGGGACAGAGGGAGAGUGGGAAGUAUCAUUAUAUGAUUAAAAUUGUAUAAAUGAGGCCAGCGCUAUGGCUUAAUAGGCUAAUCCUCUGCUUGUGGUGCCAGCACCCUGGGUUCUAGUCCCAGUCGGGGCACCAGAUUCUGUCCCAGUUGCUCCUCUUCCAGGCCAGCUCUCUGCUGUGGCCUGGGAGUGCAGUGGAGGAUGGCCCAGAUCCUUGGGCCCUGCACCCGCAUGGGAGACCAGGAGAAGCACCUGGCUCCUGGCUUCGGGUCAGCAUGGUGCACCAGCCACAGUGCACCAGCUGCAGCGGGCCACUUGGGGGUGAACCAACAGAAAAAGAAGACCUUUCUCUCUUGUGUCUCUCUCUCACUGUCCACUCUGCCUGUCAAAAAAAAUUAUAUAAAUGAAUAUAUUUUCAUUAUAUAAAUUUUCAAAAGAAAAAAUAUAAAGGACAUUACAUUUGAUGAGGAUUGAUUCAGAGAGAUUACAUUUAUAUGCACUCAACACAAGACUGCCCAGAUACAUAAAGCAAAUUCUAUUAGACAUAAAGGGAAAGAUUCCAAUACAAUAUUAGUAGGAAAUUUCAACACCUCCCUGACAUUAGUGUACAGAUGAUACAAGCAGAAAAAUUUUUCUUAUUUUUUAAAGAUUAUUAUUUUGAAAGGCAGAGAUAGAGACAGAGAAAGAUCUCCUAUUCUCUAGUUGACUCCCCAAAUGGACCCAAUGGCCAGAGCUGGGCCAGGCCGAAGCCAGGAGACAGGAGCUUCUUCCAUGUCUCCCACAUGGGUGCAAGUACACAAUAACUUCUCAUCCAUCCAUGGAAUGUUUUCCAGGAUAGGCCAUAAAUUAGUGCACAAAACAAGUCUCAGUAAAUUUAAAAAACUUGUAUCAUACCAUGUAUUUUCUCAAACUACACAGCACUAAUACUAGAAAUCUACAAGAAGAAAAACCAGAAAAUUUAUAAAAUACAUGGAAAUGGAGCAACAUGCUUCUGAAUGACCAAUGGAUUAUUGAAGAAAUUAAAAAGGAAAUCAAUACAUUGCUUGAAAACAGAAUAUAUCAAAGUCUAGAAUAUAGCAAGAGCAGUGUUAAGAAUGAUGUUUAUAACAGUGAGUAAACAGAUUUUAAAAAUAGAAACAUUUCAAAUAAAUAAUCUAACAAUGCAUUUCAAGAACUUAAGAAAACAAGAAGAAACCAAACCCAAACAUAGCAGGAAGUAAGAAAUAAUAAGCAUCAGAACAGAGAAGUUAAAUUGGAACUUAAAAACAAAAUAACAAAAUUAAAAGCUGGACUUUUGAAAGGAUAAGCAAAAUAGACAAUAAAGAAAAUACAUCCAACACAAUUGGGGAACAUAUUUGCAAGAUAUUUGCCCAACAAAGGGUAGAUACCCAGAACACAUCAAGUACUAAAAGACUCAAUUACAAAAAUAAUCUAAUUAAGAAAUGGGCACAGGACAUGAACAGGCAGUUCUCAAAAGAUGAACUACAAAUGUCCAAUGAAUAUAUGAAAAAAACUCUCAUUAUCACUAAUCAAUAAGGAAAUGCAGAUCUAAAUCAUGGAGAUAUCUCAUACCUGUUAAGAGUGGCUGUUAUCAGAAAGCAGGUAACACAUGCUGGUAAGAAGGUGGAGAAAGAGGAAUCACUUAUACACUGUUAGUUGAAAUGUGAAUUAGUACAGCCACUGCAGAAAACAGAAUGGAAAUUUCUUUUGAAAUACUGGAAAUGGAAUCAUUAUAUGACACAGCAAUCUCACUACUGGGUAUACAUUCAAAAGACAUAGCAUUGUAUUAGAGAUUCCCGCUUCAUCAUGUUUAUGGCAGUGCUGUUCAUAAUAGCCAAUAUAUUAACCCAGGAGUCCAUCAUCAGCUGAACAGAUAAAGAAA
Oryctolagus cuniculus (rabbit) is the source of this 11696-nucleotide non-coding RNA. The record is from RefSeq and is a predicted model, not a curated record. NCBI's taxonomy places the organism in Eukaryota, Metazoa, Chordata, Mammalia, Lagomorpha, Leporidae.